UGAGUCCUAAAGGCAGUUUUUGAAAUGUCAUUUUCAGCCACCCUAAUUUGAUGAUAUCCGGACCUUAGGUCUAACUUAGAAAAGAUUGUGGCACCAUGUAACUCAUCUAGGAGUUCAUCAACUAUAGGAAUAGGAAAUUCAACUUUAAUUGUCUCAGCAUUGAGUGACCUAUAGUCAAUACAAAGCCUCCAACUCCCAUCAGAUUUCCUAACUAAGAGGACAGGGGAUGAAAAAGGGCUCUGACUUGGGCGGAUAAGACCAUUUUUAAGCAAUUCAUUAACCAAUUUUUCUAUUUCAGCCUUUUGGAAGUAGGGGUAUCUAUAAGGUCAGACACAAACUGGUUUAGCUUCAUCUUUUAGCAUAAUAUGGUGAUCUUGGGUUCUAGAGGGAGGUAAUCCCUUCGGUUCCUCGAACACUUUGGAAAACUUUUGGAGUAGGGCCUGGAUUUCUGGACAUGGAAUAGACUCAAUAGAAUAAAAAGGCAUUUCCAAAUUAUCCAUCAGCUGUAUUACUAUCCCCUUAGAUUUGAUCAUGUUAGCUCUACCAAACUUAGUACCCUUAAUUAAUGUGUUACCAGAGGGAGGAAUACCUUGCAGGCAAUGUUGUUGGUCUCCUAACUUGAACUCCAUUCUGAGCUUGUUAAAAUCCAAAAGGAUUAGCCCCACAGUGCGCAUCCAUUGAACUCCCAAGACUGCAUCACAACCGCCCAAGGUAAGCAUGUAAAAAUCUGCUAUGUAGAUUUUACCCUGCAUCUUCAAGGGCAGAUCAGAACACUUUCCAGAACUGUAAACAGCAUCUCCAUUGGCCACUUUAACCAACAGCCCCUUAGAAGUUUCUAUCUGCACAUGGGCCCUUUUGGGAAUAGCUGGAUCCACAAAAUUGUGGGUGCUGCCAGUAUCAAUUAAUACCACCACUUCAUGCCCCAAUAUUUGGCCUUUCACCCGUAUAGUCUCGGGAUUUGGAGAUCCCAAGAUAGCGUGAAUUGAAAUUUCUGGUUCCACCAAUUGCUCCUCCAAGUGAACUUCUGAACCUUCACUAGUACCACCCAUUAAUGUGGGCCUUUCCACCAUCUCUUGAGAAGAGUUGGUUAGUAACAGAGGCCUAUUGUGAGUAAUGGGCCGAUUUUCCUCAGGUUCUUCCUCUCCCAAUUCCAUGAACAUCACCCUCCCUGUUUUGCACUGAUGUCCUGGGCCCCAUUUUUCAUCACAACUAAAGCAAAGGCCCUUCUC
Molecule: long non-coding RNA, 1229 nt
Filed under: Olea europaea subsp. europaea
Lineage: Eukaryota; Viridiplantae; Streptophyta; Magnoliopsida; Lamiales; Oleaceae
Source: RNAcentral